CAAAUGUUUUCUCCCCUUCUGUGGGUUGCCUUUUCAUUCUUGUUCCCUUUGAUUCCCAGUUUUAAUUUUGAUGUAAUGCAGUUUUAUCUACUUUUACUUUUGUUGACUGCUUUUGGUGUCAUAGCCAAGAGAUAAUUGCUAUAUCCAUUGUCAUGAAGCUUUCCCCCUAUGUUUUCUUCUAAGAGUUUCAUAAUUUUAAGUCUUACAUUUAGACCUUGGAUCCAUUUUUAGUUCGUUUUUGUAUAUGGUAUACGUGUGCCACUCCCUUCGUGUGCAGGUGAAUAUCUAGUUUUCCUGACAUCAUUUGUUGAGGAGACUGUCCUUAAGGCAUGUGUUUUCAUCAGCUUUUAAAAGUGCUCUUAGUUUGACUUUUCUUUUUCCCCCUAAUUGGUGAUAUAUAUGCUUUCACUCAGGCCUUUGCUGGUCUUGUCUCACUUGGUUUUCGCACAGGGCUGUCAGUAUUGGGGAGUGACACAGAAGAGUCCCUGCUGAGAGGAGCAGAGCACAGAGCCUGUGUGCUCACAGUAGGUGAGCAGUUACAGGUCCCCCCAGGACUUCUUCCCCGCAGGUCUUGUCACAUCUGUUUGCUCAUGCAUCUGUCAAGCCAGACAGUGCUCACUGGGGCUAGCACCCACCUCUAGCAAAGGCCUGGAACCACCAUGUUUUACAGAUACGCUCAGUGAGAUACAAUCGUCUAACGUGGUUGGGGGACCAUAUUCAAACCCUCAUCAGUCUGACUCAAAAGACCUUUGUUCUUCACCACCAGGCUAAGUUCUUGUUUCUCCUGGUCUGCUUACAGUAGACUCGGUGUCCCAGGCUCAUCACCACAUAUGCAUGUCAAGUGCCCGUCUUCAUUCCAAGUUCACACCCCACAGAUUUAAAGUUGAGGCAUGAUCUGGUGGCCCCUGGAAUCUGAGAAGGCAAAGCAGCUUUGCCUUUCCAGCUGUGCUGAUAGUGCCCUCUUGUGGUAACAGCUGUCACUGGGGGUAAAUGACGAAAGCAUUUGCUGUCCAAGAACAAGCCGUAUUCUUUAUUGAGUUCCUACUAUGUGCUUUCGCGGAGUUCGGCCUUUAUCAUGCCUUUCUGGGUUACAAUACUUUACCACUGCACAAAUGGUGGCUUAAGCAAAGCUAAGGGCUUUCUCCAGCCUCCUUAGCUGGUAAAUUUAAACCUGUACUUUGGUUCCAAAAACUUUUCUUUCCAAAGAAUCCAGGUAACAUCCCUGUAUUAGGAGAAUGCAGUAGGAGAGCCAGCUUCAUCAGGAGUGCCUCCUCACGUCUGCUUUUGCUUCAGUAAAGCUGUGAUGUCUUUUUUGCCUAUAUCGAAUGUCUUCAGGAGACCAUUUGAGUUUCAGGAGACCAAACAUGAACACUUUGAAAGGAGGCUGAGUGUGGAGGGUUCUGGGGGAGCUGCGGUGCACAUCUAAGCGUACCUUGUGAGUUUACUUCUGGCUUCCUGUUUCCUCGCCUCUUUGCCAGUUACAUAACAAAAUAAAGGCAAUCGGGAUCAACGGCCGAGUCCUGGCAAAAAUGUGAAGGCCGCUACAAGUUUGCGAUCUGAAAUCCACGAUGCUCCGAAAAGCAAGUUUUUUCCUUGCGUUUGUUUCCAAAUUCAUUUGGCAGCAACACCUGACCUGAAAUUUGUGUGCGUAUGAACACAUCUUAUUGUGGACGUAAGUGCUUUUACCAUAGAUUCGAGAUCCUGCUGUGGAUGAGUUUCAAAAUAUAUUUACCUCUCUGUAUCUGAAAAAUUCUGGCCACAAGGAUUUUUCGAUAAGGGAUUGUAGACCUCUAUGUACUACUGAGUCUUUUCAUCGAGUGCUCUCUAGAAAUAACAUUUUUCUUAUGUGUUAUUUUAGAAUCCCAACAGCCUUGUGAUACCGGCACAAGUGGGUUCAUGCUUAUUUUAUAGAUAGGCAGUUUAGGGGUUUUGUGUAUCACACGAUUACAACGUAGUGGCCAAAUCAAGAGGAGAAACCUUGAAAUAUGGCUGAAUAUGGACGAGUGGGAUGGACAGAAGUGGUAUGAUAUAAAAAGGCUGUGUUUUGGACAGGAUUCUGAAUAAAGUACGUAUUUUAGACUGUCCUUGGUUGAGAUGGAAGUACACAGUAUGAGGUGUAGUCAGAGAUAAGGAAGUGCAAGGGCAUCUGAGCUAUUUGUUCUGAAAUGAAGUAUUGAGAAGCACUGAUAACCAUUCAUGUGGCUCCAAACAUUAGAUUAAUACAUUUAUACCUUGUAAAUACCAGCAUGGGUAUAAAAUGAUGCUGGUUCAGAAACGCUUCUAAAGUUUGCAACUAUAGAUGAUGAGUUGACUUUUCAGCAGCAAACUUUAUCUCUCCUCAAAUUCAACUAAAGAAGGAAAUAAAGAACUGUGACACUGCUAGUAUUCAAGCCACAAAAACGGACUUAGGGCCCUCUGUGGAACCCAGAGGGUGACUGGCUAGCAAUGUAGUCAUGCACAUCCAUGUUAAAUGUUUCUUCUCCUUUGACUGUUGAGGUAUAAAAUUACACAAAAGCAAUGGGAGAUGCUGUUUCAUCAAUUAAUCAGAGACCUUUUGAGGAAAGAAAGGUUUCAAAAUUCCUGGAGUCAGAGCUCAUAAAAAAGCAAGGGAGGUUAGCAUCAUGGUGGAGUGAGAAGGCCCCUUUGCAUCUCCCCUUAUAUUUACAAGGCAGACAUUUCUAAUCCAACAAAGGUUCCUCUGCUUCCCACACAAGCAUGCCUGAGUGAGCCAUCAUCAGUACACCUGAAGGUGGCUGCACUAGAACGCACAGAGGCAGCGGGACGGGGGAAGACAGGGACGGGGUCUGCAGAUGCAGUCUGACAGCUGCCACAGCCCGAGCUAACAGUACCGGUGCGACCCCCACACUACAGCCUGGCAGAGGGUAAGGGCAGAAGCAGCCUCAAUGCUCAAGAAGCCGGCUUCCCCUCCCCAUGGCGGCAGAACAUGGUAGCAGACGCAGAGAAGUGUCUACAGGCCCCUAGCUACAGCACAGCGGUCUGGCAGCCACUGGGAAUGAGGAGGCAGUGUGGCAGGCUCACAGACCCGGCUUUUCCCACCUGCCACAUCCUCCCACCGUGGUGGCAGUGCCUCACCCAGACACUGAGGCGACUUGGACACAGGAAACCCACUACCCCAGGCACACGGGAGGUAAUUUUCACCUCAAAAGGGACAUCCCCCACCACAAAAACAAAAGAAAGACCUCUAUCUGCUGAAUUGUUAAGAUCAAAACAAGAAAAUACUUCACAACCUCAAAAGUGCAGGCAGAAGAACAAUCCACCAAGUACCAUGAAUGACCCAGGUAACAUGGUAACACAGAAAGAAAAUGACAAGUCUCCAGAAGUCAAACUCAAAGUUAUGGAAGGCUGAUUUAAAUGACAGAGAAUUAAGAUUGCAGUCAUGAAGAAAGUCAACAAGACACAAGAAAACUCAGAAGGGCAGUUCAAUGAGCUCAGGAAUGAAAAGAAGGAGUACUUUACCAAAGAGACUGAAACUAUAAAAAAGAACCAAACAGAAGUUCUAGAGCUUAUAAAUGAGGUGAAGAAUAUAUUAGAAAGCAUCGGAAAUAGAGUAGACCAGAUGGAAGAGAGAAUUAUCAAGUUCAAAGAUAGAAAACUAGAAAUGACCCCGCUCCGUAGGAUCAGCCCCUGCAUACAACUCCUCCGCUGCAGUCAAGGCCAGUCCUCACAACCAAUGAGCCCAUGUCAGUCCCUCGCCUUGAUGUGCAAUUAUCAACCGAAGCUCAACUGCAAGAGGGCACACACAACCUCUACAGCACACCUGGAGCGCGUGGCUCAGGUGUCCAGAAGGACUGCGCCACUGAACCCCACAGCACACCGACUACAUAAGGCCACUCUGCUAAGACUGGAAGACACAGCAGCCCUACCUAAUACAUAGAAACAAACACAGGGAGGCAGCCAAAAUGGAGAGACAAAUAUGUCUCAAAUAACAGAGUAGAACAAAGCUCCAGAAAAAAAACUAAGUGAUACGGAGAUAAGGAAUCUAGCACAUGCCGAGUUCCAAACACUGGUUAUAAGAAUGCUCAGUGAUCUCAGGGAGAACUUCAACAGAGAGAGGAAGCAUACAAAUGGAGACGAAAACCAUAAAAAAGAACGAGUCAGAACUAAAGGAUACAAUAACAGAAAUGAAUAUGUUACAGGGAAUCAAUAAUAGAUUAGAUGAAGCAGAGGAUCCAAACAG
This is a long non-coding RNA of Rhinolophus ferrumequinum (greater horseshoe bat), 4198 nucleotides long. RefSeq lists it as uncharacterized. The record is from RefSeq and is a predicted model, not a curated record. The transcript is spliced from 3 exons. NCBI's taxonomy places the organism in Eukaryota, Metazoa, Chordata, Mammalia, Chiroptera, Rhinolophidae.